Molecule: non-coding RNA, 30 nt
Filed under: Rattus norvegicus (Norway rat)
Lineage: Eukaryota; Metazoa; Chordata; Mammalia; Rodentia; Muridae
Source: RNAcentral
UCCUGUUCUCACCUGAAUUCUAGGAACGGU